UAUUUUUUAAAGAUGUUUAUUUUUCACUUUUCCCUCACAAAGUUGUCAAAUUACAAAUGUCACCUAAUCAAAGCAAAGGAUACUUACUAAAAAUAUGUUUUUUUUAUCAUCACUAGAAAUGUAAAAACCAGUAAAUAACAGCACAAAGCAAUGGUAUGAAGAACAGUAGUACAAUAGAGGUCAUAUAUUGUCACAUCAAUCAGUUUGGUCUUUAUAAGGUACUUGGGAAAUAAAUAGGAGAGGAGCUGUUAGACGCUCUAAGAAACACAUCCAAGUCCAUCCAAUGUUCACCACAGCACAGGCAGCAGGAUCACAGUUACAGUAGGAGAGGUGGGGCUGCGUUGCUAAUCUGAUUGAUGAAGCAUGGAUUCUCUAGCCUGGUCCCAGAUCUGUUCUGUUUUUACUAACCCUAUGGUGAGUCAGGACCAUAGGGGUCGACCAGACAGCAUAAAACUGAUCUGGGACCAGGCUAUGUCUCCAUAGGUCAAGCUCAUUCCAAGACAGAUACAGUCAAAAUUAAAAAAUUAAAAACAUUAUCUAUAUCUGCUAUUUUCUACUAUACUCAAUGUCGUGUUCAAUUUCAACAUAAUGUGUCCCUUGCAUACCUGCUGUGUUAAUGAAUUAUAAUAAUGGACUAUUGUUGCAUUGAAUUAAUAAUAUUACCGCAAUUAGCCCGACUAACCGGUGCCCCAGCACAUUGAUUCUGUACCAGUACCCCCUGUAUAUAGCCUCCACAUUGACUCUGUACCGGUACCCCCUGUAUAUAGACUCCACAUUGACUCUGUACCGGUACCCCCUGUAUAUAACCUCCACAUUGACUCUGUACUGGUACCCCCUGUAUAUAGACUCCACAUUGACUCUACAGGUACCCCCUGUAUAUAGCCUCCACAUUGACUCUAUACCGGUACCCCCUGUAUAUAGCCUCCACAUUGACUCUGUACCGGUACCCCCUGUAUAUAGCCUCCACAUUGACUCUGUACCAGUACCCCCUGUAUAUAGCCUCCACAUUGACUCUGUACCAGUACCCCCUGUAUAUAGCCUCGCUACUGUUAAUUUCACUUUCAUUGUAGUGUUUUUAAAUGUAUUUACUUGUCUAUUGUUUACAUAAUACCUAUUUUUUACUUAAAAAUUGCACUGUUGGUUAAGGGCUUGUAAAGUAAGGAUUUCACUGUAAGGUCUAGCUAGCUAGAUACCUAGCUAACUACUAGUGAUUUGUUACAGGUAACUAGCUAGCUAACUACUAGUGAUUUGUUACAGGUAUCUAGCUAGCUAACUACUUGCGAUUUGUUACAGGUAACUAGCUAGCUAACUACCUGUUGUAUUCGGCAGAUACACUUUUGAUUUGGUAGAGUGUGGUGCUUGCAACGCUUGUGGGUUCGAUUCCUAUGAUGGAUCAGUACAAAAAUGUAUGCAUUCACUUCUGUAAGUUGCUCUGCAUAAGAUCGUCUGCUAAAUGACUUUAAUGUAAGACCGUUCCCUGUAGCAUCUCCGUUAUAGGCCUGAAGAAAUGGUGCCACUUUAUAUGAAAUGUGUGAGCGCUAUUUUAUUUUAGCAACAUUCUUUACAACAAGAGUAUGUCUUAACCUACGUGUGACACCAAGACACAAUGUUUAAUGUGUAGUACUAACUACACAAGCCUCUUAAGUCAUUUGUCUUGGAAGCAGCAUUGUUGUGGGGUGAUAGGGGACAAGAGGCUAAUCUGCCCUGGAUAAGCCUGUGGUGUAGCGGCCUUAGCCUCCUAGUGUCGGGGUUUGGGAGGGGGCACUGGGUCCAUACACCCAGCAAUAGGUCCUCCUCACCUCUCCGUCAUGAUAGCGGAUAUGUGGUGGGAGUUGAUUUUCCAAAAUGGCCGCCAUGCUACACAAUGGUGGUGGAUGAGGUGACUCGCCCCCCCUCCCCCUUUUUUGCUUUGUAAUGCGUCUGGAAAAGCUCAAUAUAAAUCCAAUCUAUUAUUAUGAUUUAUUAUAUGGAUAAUUGUGAUGUUGAAUGACUAAAGUGCAAGCUCGCUGCUUUAUAAUGUGCCCUAUAGACUCACCAUGGGACUCUCACUGCACAUGAGCAAAGGCUUUUUUAACAAUUUUUUUAUUUAUUUAUUUAGAAAUAAAAAGAUUUUACGUUUUUCUCUGUAAAACCCUCGUUUUAAAUACACAUUUUUGCUUUACAGGUUAUUUAGCGCCAUAGAAAUAAAAAAUAAAAUCUUUCAAAUUGUAUUUUUAAAAAUGUUUCUUCUUUGUGGAUUAAAAACAUUUCCCCUUGUACAUUCUUAUAAAGGUAUGUAAUGUAAUGUAUACGAGGCAGGAGAGUUAAAGAAGUUUGACAUUAUGUUUUCUAUCUGUGAUAGACUUCUCCAAUCUCCAGCGAUGGACUGGGUGCCAUUAUCAUCACCAUAAUAAUGCUUUUUCAUUUGGUUUUCAGUGAGCUUCUUUGAUACGGCACCUGUAAGGCACCUAGCUAGCGAACUACUAGUGAUUUGUUACAGGUACCUAGCUAGCUAACUACUAGUGAUUUGUUACAGGUACCUAGCUAGCUAACUACUAGUGAUUUGUUACAGGUAUCUAGCUAGCU
Long non-coding RNA from Oncorhynchus tshawytscha (Chinook salmon), 2565 nucleotides. The record is from Ensembl. Lineage: Eukaryota; Metazoa; Chordata; Actinopteri; Salmoniformes; Salmonidae.